CUUCAGCGCAUCAUCCUUCACCGAUCUGCACAGCUCCAAAAGCUUCAAAACAAGCAGACCACAGUCACAUGAGCGUUAAUGCAGAGAUUACACAACUAUAUCAUUAUACAACUGGAUGUUUUGAAGAAAAUAUCGGCUGAAAAGAAAGUAGCUUUAUGUAGAGGUUGCAUGCGCCAUGAAGCAACGCAGAGAUAAGGAGAGUGUGUAAACAGAGCGAGAAAGAGAUGGCAUGAAAGAAGAGAAAGGGAGACAGAAUGGAAAAUUUUGCCAGAGUUUGGUUACUCACACACUACGUAAAGACAAGUUCCCGUGUCGGAUUCAAGUGGAUCUACCUCGCUGGAGACGCCGGAGAAGCAGAAUGGCCCUGCUAUGGAAUUAUAAUCUGCAACAUGCUUCUCUCCCGUGGGGAUCUGAGUUCGUGCAUGGAUUCACUGCUGGCCAGCGUUCCCUGGAUGGUUUAUAUCGAUGUCUGCGCCCUAUUCUUCCCGAAUGCUUCUCUGCACCUGCUCGGAUCUUCUGAAACACAGCUAGAGAAAGUUACAUCGCAGCUGAAGAUCGCUCUCAUUAAUGCCCGGUCUCUAAACAAAACUUUUAUUUUAAAUGACUACUUUACCUCGCAAGCGCUGGACUUCCUAUGUGUUACGGAGACUUGGUCUAAGUCGAGUCAUUCUCGUUUUCGGAACUGAUGCCUUACGGCUGUAAUCUUUUAAAUUCCCCACGUAUGUCGGGCCGCGGUGGGGGCCUUGCUAACGUUUUUAAAGACACUUUUCACUGUCGUCCACUAUCUACCGGCUCAUACAACAGUUUUGAGGUGCAACUUUUACAAUUAGUCUUAGUAAACCCCAUCACUAUAGAUCUAAUAUAUCGUCCUCCUCACCAUAACAAGGACUUAAGUGAAUUUGCUGUAUUAAUGGGGGAUUUGGGAUUUUUUUUUUUUUGGAUAUUAUAUUUUUAUUUCAACAUUAUGACAACAUAAAACAGUACAAAAAAAGCUUUUUCCAUUGACAAAGGAUGAUUUUUUUAGCUACUAACAUUCCAUAUUGGACAGCUUUUUUAAUUUGAUGGCCUAAGCCAUGAAGGGAGUUAGACCAGCCAAAGACAACAAUUGCUGGGUCAGGGGAGAUGUCACAGGAAUAAGCCACUGAGUAGAAUCUGAAAAUUUCACUCAAACUCAAAGUUUCUGGCAUGACCAAAAAAGAUGUCCCAGAGAGAGUAGUUUGUAACACUCUGUUCAAUGGCGAGCCAAGAUGGAAUGUCAUCUGCAGGCCCCAGAAGAUGAGAUUUUUUUUCAGUAUGAUAAGGCUCUGCAAUUUGCAGCCCAAUAAUAAUGCUGGAAGUUUGGCAAGCCUAAUCCUCCCAUCAACCUUGGUUUACAAACAUGUAACUUAGAAAUACAGUGUGCUCUGAAGCCCCACACAAAAUGGCAGGACAAUUGAAUCCAAGGCUUUAAAAAAAUUUUGGGCAGGAAAAUUGGCAGGUUUUGGAAAAGGUAAAGAAAUCUGGGCAAUGUCACCAUCUUGAUUGCAUUCACGCGCCCUACCAUAGACAGUGGGAAGGUCCUCCAGCUUUCAAUAUUACAUUUCAAAUUCUCUAGCAUAGUCAAGUAAUUUAAUUUAUAUAUAUCCUUUGCAUUUUUAGGUAAAAUGACCCCCAAAUAUUUCAAACUGUCUGUUGCGAUAUUUAAAGGUAGGUUUUGUAUGAAGCCUGGGUCAAUAUUACUAGUAACAGGCAUGAAUUCACUCUUGCCAAUUUACAGAAUAUCCAGAGAACUUUCCAAAAGUCUCCAGUAAGUCUAAUAGGGGUGGAACAGACCGUUCUGGGUCAACAAGGUAAAGAAUAAUGUCAUCGGCAUAAAGAGAUAUAUGGUGUUCUAAGUGGCCUAUCUUAGGAGAUGAAGUGGGUUAUUUCUUAUAGCAACCGCAAGGGGCUCUAUAGCAAUGGCAAAAAGCAAGGGUGAAAGGGGACACCCAUGUCUAGUGCCUCUAUGUAGUGUGAAUUGUGAAGUUAUAAAUUUAUUUAGUCUAUUCGCAAGGAUUUUUGUGAAAAUUUUAAGAUCUGAAUUCAGAAGAGCUAUGGGACGGUAUGAUGCUGGAUCCAUUUCAUCUUUCCCUUUUUUAAGAAUGAAAGAAAUGUUAGCAUCAUACAUUGAUUGUGGAAAUUCCUGAUUUUCAAUAGAGUGGUUAAAUAAUCUCAACAUCAGGGGAGCGAGUUUUUCAGAGUAUUUCUUAUAAAAUUAAAUUCCGAAACUGUCAAGUCCGGGGGCGUUACUGCUAGGGAAUGAUGUGAUGGCUUCAAAUAUUUAAUCUAACGUUAUGUUUGCAUUGAGGGCGUUUCAAUCUGUAUCAUCUAAUUUUGGGAGAUGUAAUGAUUGGAGGAAAUGGGAAAGGUCUGCAGGGUCACUGGAAGUUCGUGAUUCAUACAAAGCCUCAUAAAAUUCCUUGAAACAUUCAUUAAUGUCCCUAGGGUUCGUCGCUAGCGUUCCAUCCCUUUUCCUAAUUUGAUGAAAAGAUCUACUGGCUUGGAUACUUCUCAGCUGUCGAGCGAGCAGCCUGUCUGGUUUGUCCCCUAGCUCGAAUUGUUUUCGUUUUAUUUUUAAUAGCAUAUUGUUAACUUGGUUGGAAAGAAUUGUAUUAUAUUCUAGAACAGAACAGGAUCUGCAUGUAAAUGUUCAAGUUGAUUAAGAUGAGCUUCAAUUACUGACAGGCGAGCUUUUCUUUGUUUCUUUAAGCCAGAUUCAUACGAGAUGAUGUGCCCCCUUAAUACCGCCUUAAGUGACUCCCACAGUGUUGAGUCGGACACUUCCCCUGAAUCGUUAAACAUAAGAUAGUCAUCCAGCCAUUCUAUGACACACUGGGAAAAAUGAGAAUCAAGGAGUAAUGUAGGGUUGAAUCGCCAGCUAUGAUUAGGCUUUAUAUCAAAAAGGUCAAGUGAAAUGGUCACCGCAGAAUGAUCUGAGAUUAUUCUAUUAUGGUGUUUCACUGAAGUUACGCAUGAGGCCACCUUAAAAUCAACUAGAAAAAAAUCUAUUCUAGAAUAUGAAUUGUGGACAUGAGAGAAAAAAGUAUACUGUCUGUCGGUCAGAAUUUUUAAACUUGAGUCUUUUGACUUUACUCAAUGGGUUUCCAGUCCAACACAUACGCUUGAUCUAAUAUUAACCCAUGGUUUUUCUAUUUCAAAUAUUGAAAUCAGCAGUGCAUCUUUCUCCGAUCACAGAAUCUUCUGUACUGUCCCUCUUACGGGCCGAUUCCUUAGAAAUCCAUCGCUGGCAUGUUUGACUCGCUCUCUUACUCAACAUUCUAGUGAAGAAUUUGCUGUAGCCUACCGUGAUUUAUGCAACUCUCUGGAGUCAGAAUCUACUCUGCUUAAUCUGGACGCUGAUGCACAUCUUUAAUCUUUAAUAGCAAUUCUACCUGUGCUGACAUCAUGAAUUCUAUUGCCCCCUUGAAGUAUAAAAAUCAUAAGCCUGUACCUGUGCCUUUGGUACACUGAAACUACACGUACUCUGAGACGGACUUGCAGACAGGCUGAAUAGAAGAAGGACAGACUGCAGGUUUCUUAUGAAAUUGAGAAACUCUUAUAACAUGUUUCUUAAAUCUUAAAUCCCUCUGUGCAUUCUAUUCUUGAGCCCUCAACUUCUCUUUGCAACAAUUUUGGGAAGUUUUUUUGUUGAGAAGUUCACAACAUUAAGAUCCCAGUUGUUUAAUUCAAUAUAUAUUUUGCAUGAUGUUCCAUUAUGUUCUUCUACCUGGUCUGAGUUUGAGCCUAUUGAUUUGAUUUCAUGUAAUGAAAUUGUUGGUCACCUAAAACCAACUAUCUGCCCUCAAGAUAUAAUUCCACCUCUUUUUCUUAGACAAAUCAUGGACACAGUUAAUUCUGGUCUGUUAUUGGUUAUUAACAAAUGUUUGUCUACUGGUUCCUUCCCUAACAGUCUUAAAUGUGCUGUGGUGACGCCUUAUCUUAAAAACCAAACCUGGAUCCUUCUUCUUUUUCCAAUUUUCGUCCUAUUUCUAAUCUACCCUUUAUUUCAAAGAUCCUUGAGAAAAUUGUAUUGACUAAAUUACAAUCUUAUUUGACUUAAUUCUGUUCAUGAGAUGUUUCAAUCUGGCUUCAAAGCUUUACACAGUACUGAAUCUGCCCUUUUAAGAAUCUCAAGUAAUAUCUUUACAGAAACUGACUCUGGGAAAUCCAUGGCUUUAGUUUUAUUAGAUCUGAGUGCUGCUUUUGAUUUGGUUGAUCAUGAGGUCCUGUUGACACGUUUGGAGACAUCUGUGGGCCUGCGUGGCACAGUCUUACAGUGGUUCCAUUCCUAUCUGACCAACAGAAGUUUUAAUGUUUGUAUUGGUCAUCAGUCCUCCUCUAGUAUACCUCUUAAUUGUGGAGUGCCACAGGGAUCAAUCCUUGGGCCGUUAUUGGUUACCCUGUAUAUGCUACCUCAGGCUUCCAUUUUUAACAAAUAUAAAGUAUCCUUUCAUCUAUAUGCUGAUGAUACUCAGAUCUACUUUCCUUUAAAGCACAAUGAUAAAAACGGCCUACAACCGCUGUUGGCCUGUCUAGAAGAAUUUAAGCUUUGGCUCUCAAGUAUUUUUUUACAUUUAAAUUAAAAAACCGCCAAAUAAUUAUAUUUGGGCAUAAGUAAAAUUGUGUGUUAGAUGUUGACCGUGGCCCUCUGGCCCCAUAUGAAACUCAGUGCGCUAGAAAUCUGGGCAUUCUAUUUGAUCAUAACUUAAAAUUUGACAAACAGAUCAAUGCUGUUGUAAAAUCAUGUUUUUAUAAUCUCCAUCAAAUUUCUAAAGUAAAACCCUUCUUAUCACAGAGUAAUUACCAAAUGGUGAUCCAUGCUUUUGUAACAACUCGCUUAUUAUUGUAAUUCACUUUAUUACGGUCUUUAUCAGUCUUCUCUCUCCCGUCUACAGCUAGUGCAAAAUGCAGCUGCUAGACUUCUUUCUGGUACCCGCAAGUAUGAGCCAGUAACCCCUAUUUUAUCGGCAUUACACUGGUUACCCAUCAAAUAUAGAAUUGAUUUUAAAAUUCUUCUAUUUGGGUAUAAAGCCCUCAACAGUUUGGCCCCUCAGUACCUGACAGACCUGCUUCGUCCAUACACCCCUUCUAGAACAUUGAGAUCUAGUGAUCUCUGUCUACUCAUCGUGCCUAGAUGUAGACUUAAAAAAACGAGGUGAUUGCGCUUUUGCGACUGCAGGUCCGAAACUCCGGAAUAGUCUACCUCUUCAUAUCAGAUUAGCCCCCUCUAUUUCUGCUUUUAAGUCUGCUCUAAAGAUCUCUUCUCUCUAGCUUUCAAUACCCCUUGAUCAUUGGUUGAAUUGUUGGUUUGUUAUUGUUGUGUUUUAAAUUUGAUAGUCUUGUUGUAUCCAUCUUAUUUCUGUGUUUUUUUUUUUAUUCUAUUCUGUACAGCACUUUGGUCAACCUUGGUUGUUUUUAAAUGUUCUUUACAAAUAAAUAUUGUAUUGUAUUGUAUUGUAUUCAUUGAUAUAGUGACACUAAAGGUGCUUGACCAUGCUUUAGUUUUUGAUGUCUUGGGAAUGAG
Molecule: long non-coding RNA, 5542 nt
Organism: Onychostoma macrolepis
Lineage: Eukaryota; Metazoa; Chordata; Actinopteri; Cypriniformes; Cyprinidae
Exons: 3
Source: RefSeq, a predicted model, not a curated record